Molecule: ribosomal RNA, 1437 nt
Filed under: Halalkalibacterium halodurans
Lineage: Bacteria; Bacillati; Bacillota; Bacilli; Caryophanales; Bacillaceae
Description: bacterial SSU rRNA
Rfam family: Bacterial small subunit ribosomal RNA
Source: RNAcentral
CAGGACGAACGCUGGCGGCGUGCCUAAUACAUGCAAGUUGAGCGGACCAAAGGGAGCUUGCUCCUGGAGGUUAGCGGCGAACGGGUGAGUAACACGUGGGCAACCUGCCUGUAAGACUGGGAUAACAUCGAGAAAUCGGUGCUAAUACCGGAUAAUAAAAAGAACUGCAUGGUUCUUUUUUGAAAGAUGGUUUCGGCUAUCACUUACAGAUGGGCCCGCGGCGCAUUAGCUAGUUGGUGGGGUAACGGCUCACCAAGGCGACGAUGCGUAGCCGACCUGAGAGGGUGAUCGGCCACACUGGGACUGAGACACGGCCCAGACUCCUACGGGAGGCAGCAGUAGGGAAUCUUCCGCAAUGGACGAAAGUCUGACGGAGCAACGCCGCGUGAGUGAUGAAGGUUUUCGGAUCGUAAAACUCUGUUGUUAGGGAAGAACAAGUGCCGUUCGAAAGGGCGGCACCUUGACGGUACCUAACGAGAAAGCCACGGCUAACUACGUGCCAGCAGCCGCGGUAAUACGUAGGUGGCAAGCGUUGUCCGGAAUUAUUGGGCGUAAAGCGCGCGCAGGCGGUCUCUUAAGUCUGAUGUGAAAGCCCCCGGCUCAACCGGGGAGGGUCAUUGGAAACUGGGAGACUUGAGUACAGAAGAGGAGAGUGGAAUUUGAUCUGGCUCAGUAUAAGUCGUAACGGGUCACCGGAGAGUUUGUGUCAUGGCUCACUAUCUGGUCUGUAACUGACGCUGAAGUGCGAAAGCGUGGGGAGCAAACAGGAUUAGAUACCUGGAUAAUCCAAACCGUAAACUAUGAGUUCUUUUUUGAAAGGGUUUCGACGCCCUUAGUGCCGAAGUUAACACAUGGAGCACUCCGCCUGGCGAGCUAGUUGGUGAGGUUGAAGCUCAAGGCAACUGAUGGGGGCCCGCACAAGCAGUGGAGCAUGUGGUUUAAUUCGAAGCAACACGAAGAACCUUACCAGGCCUUGACAUCCUAUGGCCACCCUAGAGAUAGGGCCUUCCCCAAUGGGGAGCAAAGCGACAAGUGGUGAAUGGUUUUCGUCAGCUCGUGUUGUUAGGUGUAGGGUUAAGUCCCGUAACGGGCGCAACCCUUGACCUUAGUUGCCAGCAUUCAGUAAGGCACUCUAAGGUGACUGCCGGUGACAGGCGGUAGGAAGGUAGGGAUGACGUCAAGUCAUCAUGUCCCUUAUGACCUGGGCUACACACGCGCGACAAUGGAUGGUAUAAGGCGUUGUGAAACCGCGAGGUGAAGCCAGUCCCAGGAAACUGUCUUCAGUUCGGAAUGAGAGCUGCAAUUCGCACGCAUGUAGCGGUGAAAUGCUAGUAGAUGUGGAGGAUCACCAGUGGCGCAAGGGUUCCCGACUCUCGUAGAGUCUGUAACUGACGCCACGAGAGUUUGUGAGGCACGAAGUCGGCAGGGUAACCUUUU